Molecule: ribosomal RNA, 349 nt
Filed under: uncultured bacterium
Lineage: Bacteria
Description: bacterial SSU rRNA
Rfam family: Bacterial small subunit ribosomal RNA
Source: RNAcentral
AACGAACGCUGGCGGCAUGCCUAACACAUGCAAGUCGAACGGCAGCACGGGAGCUUGCUCCUGGUGGCGAGUGGCGGACGGGUGAGUAAUGCAUAGGAAUCUGCCCAGUAGCGGGGGACAACUUGGGGAAACUCAAGCUAAUACCGCAUGCGCCCUACGGGGGAAAGCGGGGGACCUUCGGGCCUCGCACUAUUGGAUGAGCCUAUGUCAGAUUAGCUUGUUAGGUGGGGUAACGGCCUACCAAGGCGACGAUCUGUAGCUGGUCUGAGAGGACCGAUCAGCCACACUGGGACUGAGACACGGCCCAGGACUCCUACGGGAGGCGAGCUAGUGGGGAAUAUUGCACAAU